CGGGAAAAGGCAUCUUCUUGUUUUUAAAGACCUAGCAAUAGGUAUGCUUAGGGAGGAGCUUGCGUCACAUUAGUUAGUUGGUGGGGUAAAGGCCUACCAAGACUAUGAUGUGUAGCCGGGCUGAGAGGUUGAACGGCCACAUUGGGACUGAGACACGGCCCAAACUCCUACGGGAGGCAGCAGUAGGGAAUUUUCGGCAAUGGAGGAAACUCUGACCGAGCAACGCCGCGUGAACGAUGAAGUAUUUCGGUACGUAAAGUUCUUUUAUUAGGGAAGAAUAAAUGAUGGAAAAAUCAUUCUGACGGUACCUAAUGAAUAAGCCCCGGCUAACUAUGUGCCAGCAGCCGCGGUAAUACAUAGGGGGCAAGCGUUAUCCGGAAUUAUUGGGCGUAAAGGGUGCGUAGGCGGUUAAAUAAGUUUAUGGUCUAAGUGCAAUGCUCAACAUUGUGAUGCUAUAAAAACUGUUUAGCUAGAGUAAGAUAGAGGCAAGUGGAAUUCCAUGUGUAGUGGUAAAAUGCGUAAAUAUAUGGAGGAACACCAGUAGCGAAGGCGGCUUGCUGGGUCUUUACUGACGCUGAGGCACGAAAGCGUGGGGAGCAAACAGGAUUAGAUACCCUGGUAGUCCACGCCGUAAACGAUGAGUACUAAACGUUGGGUAAAACCAGUGUUGAAGUUAACACAUUAAGUACUCCGCCUGAGUAGUACGUACGCAAGUAUGAAACUUAAAGGAAUUGACGGGACUCCGCACAAGCGGUGGAUCAUGUUGUUUAAUUCGAAGGUACCCGAAAAACCUCACCAGGUCUUGACAUGCUUCUGCAAAGCUGUAGAAACACAGUGGAGGUUAUCAGUUGCACAGGUGGUGCAUGGUUGUCGUCAGCUCGUGUCGUGAGAUGUUGGGUUAAGUCCCGCAACGAGCGCAACCCUUAUUGUUAGUUACCAGCACGUAAUGGUGGGGACUUUAGCAAGACUGCCAGUGAUAAAUUGGAGGAAGGUGGGGACGACGUCAAAUCAUCAUGCCCCUUAUGACCUGGGCUACAAACGUGAUACAAUGGCUGUUACAAAGGGUAGCUGAAGCGCAAGUUUUUGGCGAAUCUCAAAAAAACAGUCUCAGUUCGGAUUGAAGUCUGCAACUCGACUUCAUGAAGUUGGAAUCGCUAGUAAUCGCGAAUCAGCAAAGUCCGGGA
Molecule: ribosomal RNA, 1184 nt
Filed under: Sugarcane yellows phytoplasma type I
Lineage: Bacteria; Bacillati; Mycoplasmatota; Mollicutes; Acholeplasmatales; Acholeplasmataceae
Description: bacterial SSU rRNA
Rfam family: Bacterial small subunit ribosomal RNA
Source: RNAcentral